RNAcentral lists this ribosomal RNA (775 nucleotides) under uncultured Neocallimastigales. RNAcentral describes it as "partial large subunit ribosomal RNA". It matches the Rfam family "Eukaryotic large subunit ribosomal RNA", at positions 24 to 634 of the family's 3401-position model. The record is from RNAcentral. Lineage: Eukaryota; Fungi; Neocallimastigomycota; Neocallimastigomycetes; Neocallimastigales.
UAUCUCUGUAGAGUCUGCAUAUCAAUAAGCGGAGGAAAAGAAACUAACAAGGAUUCCCUUAGUAACGGCGAGUGAAGCGGGAAGAGCUCAAAUUUGAAAUCUUCAAGGUUUUACCUUGACGAAUUGUAGUUUAAAGAAGUGUUUUCUGUUGAAGUUUUGGUAAAAGUUCUUUGGAAUAGGACAUCAUAGAGGGUGAGAAUCCCGUAUUUGACCAUUACUUCCAGCGUUGUGAUACACUUUCAAAGAGUCGGAUUGUUUGGGAAUGCAGUCCAAAAUGGGUGGUAAAUUUCAUCUAAAGCUAAAUAUUGGCGAGAGACCGAUAGCGAACAAGUACCGUGAGGGAAAGAUGAAAAGAACUUUGAAAAGAGAGUUAAACAGUACGUGAAAUUGUCAAAAGGGAAGCGUUUGACACCAGUGUUGUUUUCUCGAAAAUCAAUUAAAAAAAGUUGGAUUUUGUAUUGUUAAGACCUUAUCAGCUUACUGUACUCUUUUCUUGCUUUUUUUAAUGCACUUUUCGUUUAACAAGUCAACAUCAAUUUCUUUUGUUGUAAAAGAGUCAUUGGAAGGUGGCUUUCACUUCGGUGAAAGUGUUUAUAGCCUUUGGCUUCUGCAAUCGGAGAGAUUGAGGUCUGCAGCGUAGAUCCUUCGGAGCUAGAUACGUAGAUGCUAAGUUAUAGUUUUUUAUAGACAACUUGUUGACUAUAAUUAAUCAUGCUAGCUUACUCGUUUGCGCUAUUUUACCUACGCUUAGGAUGUUGAUCUGUAGUGCGUGCGC